RNAcentral lists this non-coding RNA (27 nucleotides) under Homo sapiens (human). The record is from RNAcentral. Lineage: Eukaryota; Metazoa; Chordata; Mammalia; Primates; Hominidae.
UGGUGUUUUGUGCAAUGCAGAAAGAUC